RNAcentral lists this ribosomal RNA (624 nucleotides) under Coprinopsis candidolanata. RNAcentral's name for it is "eukaryotic LSU rRNA". It matches the Rfam family "Eukaryotic large subunit ribosomal RNA", at positions 131 to 744 of the family's 3401-position model. Lineage: Eukaryota; Fungi; Basidiomycota; Agaricomycetes; Agaricales; Psathyrellaceae. The record is from RNAcentral.
CGAUCGUCCGAGUUGUAAUCUAGAGAAGUGUUACCCGCGUCGGACCGUGUACAAGUCUCCUGGAAUGGAGCGUCAUAGAGGGUGAGAAUCCCGUCUUUGACACGGACUACCGAGGCAUUGUGGUGCGCUCUCAAAGAGUCGAGUUGUUUGGGAAUGCAGCUCAAAAUGGGUGGUAAAUUCCAUCUAAAGCUAAAUAUUGGCGAGAGACCGAUAGCGAACAAGUACCGUGAGGGAAAGAUGAAAAGAACUUUGGAAAGAGAGUUAAACAGUACGUGAAAUUGCUGAAAGGGAAACGCUUGAAGUCAGUCGCGUCGGCCGGAAAUCAACCUUGCUUCUGCUUGGUGUACUUUCUGGUCGACGGGCCAGCAUCAGUUUUGACCGAUGGAAAAAGUUCAAGGGAAUGUGGCUUCUCCGGAAGUGUUAUAGCCCUUGAUCGUAUACAUCGGUUGGGACUGAGGAAUUCAGCACGCCGCAAGGCCGGGUUUCGACCACGUUCGUGCUUAGGAUGCUGGCAUAAUGGCUUUAAUCGACCCGUCUUGAAACACGGACCAAGGAGUCUAACAUGCCUGCGAGUGUUUGGGUGGAAAACCCGAGCGCGUAAUGAAAAGUGAAANUUGGGAUCUU